This 1713-nucleotide long non-coding RNA is filed under the name Salmo salar (Atlantic salmon). Its description in RNAcentral is "lncRNA (ENSSSAG00000098846.1)". The record is from RNAcentral. Lineage: Eukaryota; Metazoa; Chordata; Actinopteri; Salmoniformes; Salmonidae.
GUGUUACCAUAGGAGGUGUUACCAUAGGAGGUGUUACCAUAGGAGGUGUUACCAUAGGAGGUGUUACCAUAGCCAUAGGUGGUGUUACCAUAGGAGGUGUUACCAUAGCCAUAGGAGGUGUUACCAUAGGAGGUGUUACCGUAGCCAUAGGAGGUGUUACCAUAGGAGGUGUUACCAUAGGAGGUGUUACCAUAGCCAUAGGAGGUGUUACCAUAGGAGGUGUUACCAUAGCCAUAGGAGGUGUUACCAUAGGAGGUGUUACCAUAGCCAUAGGAGGUGUUACCAUAGGAGGUGUUACCAUAGGAGGUGUUACCAUAGGAGGUGUUACCAUAGCCAUAGGAGGUGUUACCAUAGCCAUAGGAGGUGUUGCCAUAGGUGGUGUUACCAUUGGAGGUGUUACCAUAGGAGGUGUUACCAUAGGAGGUGUUACCAUAGCCAUAGGAGGUGUUACCAUAGGUGUUGUUACCAUAGGAGGUGUUACCAUAGCCAUAGGAGGUGUUACCAUAGGAGGUGUUACCAUAGGAGGUGUUACCAUAGGAGGUGUUACCAUAGGAGGUGUUACCAUAGCCAUAGGAGGUGUUACCAUAGGAGGUGUUACCAUAGGAGGUGUUACCAUAGGAGGUGUUACCAUAGCCAUAGGAGGUGUUACCAUAGGAGGUGUUACCAUAGCCAUAGGAGGUGUUACCAUAGGAGGUGUUACCAUAGGAGGUGUUACCAUAGGAGGUGUUACCAUAGGAGGUGUUACCAUAGGAGGUGUUACUAUAGGGUGUGUUACCAUAGGAGGUGUUACCAUAGGAGGUGUUACUAUAGGAUGUGUUACCAUAGGAGGUGUUACUAUAGGAUGUGUUACUAUAGGAUGUGUUACUAUAGGAGGUGUUACAAUAGGAGGUGUUACCAUAGCAGAUGUUACUAUAGGAGGUGUUACCAUUGGAGGUUUUACCAUACGCAUACGACACACAAUUAACCUCUAGACGGUCGCCUAGGAUAGGGGGCGCCACAGCGCAUUUUGAAAAAAAUUAGUGCCCAUUUUCAACGACCUACUACUCAAACUCAGAAGCUAGGAUAUGCAUAUAAUUAAUACUUGUGGAUAGAAAACACCCUAAAGUUUCUAAAACUGUUUGAAUGGUGUCUGUGAGUAUAACAGAACUCAUAUGGCAGUCAAAACCCCGAGACAGAUCGAAACAGGAAGUGGAAUUCUGAAUUGCGAACUCAACUUCAUCACGUUGCCUAUUAAUCACACCGUGAGCUAUGGUUCAUUGAGCACUUCCUAUUGCUUCCAAUAGAUGUCCCCAGUCUUUACAAAGUGAUUUGAGUCUCCUACUGUGAAAACUGACAGAAUGACACGCUGUGGAACAUGGUCACACGGAGAGGGCCAUCACCAUUAUGACGCCGGCGCCCCUGGUUACCCUCCCCUUUCGAAACGUUUUGAAACACAAUGCAAUCGUCCCCCUCGAAUCUUAUUGGAGCUCUCGUUGAAAAAGGCCCUAGAGAUUUAUGUUAUACAACGUUUGACAUGUUUGAACGAACCUAAAUAAGAAAAAAAUGCAUUUUUUUGAAAGAGUAGCCCCGCGCACGUCGGAACUUUUGGUGCAGCUUUCAGAACACGCUAACAACAACAAGCUAAUGGAACAUAAAGGAUGACAUUUUUAGAACGAAAAUACAUUUGUUGUGGACCUGGGAUUCCUGGAAGUGCCUAAGGAUGAAGAUAAUCAA